RNAcentral lists this ribosomal RNA (253 nucleotides) under uncultured bacterium. RNAcentral describes it as "partial 16S ribosomal RNA". It matches the Rfam family "Bacterial small subunit ribosomal RNA", at positions 524 to 776 of the family's 1533-position model. The record is from RNAcentral.
UACGUAGGGUGCGAGCGUUAAUCGGAAUUACUGGGCGUAAAGCGUGCGCAGGCGGUUUGUUAAGACAGGCGUGAAAUCCCCGGGCUCAACCUGGGAACUGCGCUUGUGACUGGCAGGCUAGAGUACGGCAGAGGGGGGUGGAAUUCCACGUGUAGCAGUGAAAUGCGUAGAGAUGUGGAGGAACACCAAUGGCGAAGGCGGGUCUCUGGGCAUUUCCUGACGCUGAGGCGCGAAAGCGUGGGGAGCAAACGGG